UGUUGUCCCUCUCCGUCUCCCAUGGAAUUCUGUCUUUUUCCCCAUUUUUCUUUCUUUUCUCUUCAAAUCUCUCAAAAACCCAACAACCCAACCUUGAGUUUUAACUAAAAUUAAUUGAGAAAUCAUCUCGUAAACUCAUUUCCACAAUCAAUCUCACCAUUUUCAGGAAGGGUUUCAGUGGUUCUUGAUGGAGAAUGCUGAGGCUAGAGAGAGAAAGCUUUUAUAAGAUCAAAAAACAAAUCAGCCGGACAUAAAUCAUGGGAAGGUGAAGUUAGCAGAAUAGUCAUCAACGUCGUUUUCGUAAUCGCUUUUGUAUAGAUCAUCGGAAACCUCGAUCAAUUGGAAUCAAGUCAGAACACACGGGCUAUCCACCCUUCAUCUCGGUAGAAGUUUUGGUCACUUUUGAGUGGUUAUAAAUGACAUGUACUAGGAGCUUUUGGGUCUUUCUCUAUAAUGAUGUUAUUUCAAUUUGGUUUAAGCAUACUUAUGCUUUUAUAUGUACAUUUAUAAGUGCCUUUAGUUGUGUGGUUAUUACUUCUUGAAAGUAGUUUUAAUAUGGUAAAUCUCAUAUGAAUGGAAUG
This is a long non-coding RNA of Gossypium raimondii (Peruvian cotton), 581 nucleotides long. RefSeq lists it as uncharacterized. The transcript has 3 exons. The record is from RefSeq and is a predicted model, not a curated record. Lineage: Eukaryota; Viridiplantae; Streptophyta; Magnoliopsida; Malvales; Malvaceae.